RNAcentral lists this non-coding RNA (31 nucleotides) under Rattus norvegicus (Norway rat). Lineage: Eukaryota; Metazoa; Chordata; Mammalia; Rodentia; Muridae. The record is from RNAcentral.
UGAGAAUUGGAGAAGUCCCACUGGGGCAGAG